AUGGCUGCAGAGGACCAAAAGAUACUAAACUGUCACUUUACCACUGUACUCUACUGGUACAAACAGGAUGGAAACAACAGCCCCAAAUUCAUUCUGAGCCGCUUUACGGUUGGCUCCGGGAAAACAGUUGACGAAGACAAAUUUUCAUCCACACUGAAUUCCAUUCCUCUGAAGAUCCAGAAGCUUCAGCUGUCUGACUCUGCUGUGUACUACUGUGCUCUG
This is a non-coding RNA of Sander lucioperca (pikeperch), 222 nucleotides long. The record is from the annotation of a RefSeq genome assembly. Lineage: Eukaryota; Metazoa; Chordata; Actinopteri; Perciformes; Percidae.